This is a long non-coding RNA of Suricata suricatta (meerkat), 213 nucleotides long. RefSeq lists it as uncharacterized. The record is from RefSeq and is a predicted model, not a curated record. The transcript has 2 exons. Lineage: Eukaryota; Metazoa; Chordata; Mammalia; Carnivora; Herpestidae.
UCACAACAAAGCAAGGGCAAGCUCAAUCCUUUCUGAUACACUGAAGGACAGGCAGAAGACGGAUACUGGAGCCUGGUAUUUCAGAACAAAUGACAACUCUUACAAAGUGCUGUAGCUCUGAAAUGCUCAAGAAAAUAUGAAAGGACGCCCAGAUUCUCCUAUCCCAGGUUGGCUCUCACUUCAAACCAGAGGAAGGCAAAAAAAAAAAAAAAA